UUUUUAUAAAGCAAGACACUGAAAAUGUCUAGAUGGACAUUAUUGCCCCAUUAACA
RNAcentral lists this transfer RNA (56 nucleotides) under Orcinus orca (killer whale). Its description in RNAcentral is "tRNA-Phe". Lineage: Eukaryota; Metazoa; Chordata; Mammalia; Artiodactyla; Delphinidae. The record is from RNAcentral.